UGGGGAAUAUUGCCCAAUGGGCGCAAGCCUGAUGCAGCCAUGCCGCGUGUAUGAAGAAGGCCUUCGGGUUGUAAAGUACUUUCAGCGGGGAGGAAGGGAGUAAAGUUAAUACCUUUGCUCAUUGACGUUACCCGCCGAAGAAGCACCGGCUAACUCCGUGCCAGCAGCCGCGGUAAUACGGAGGGUGCAAGCGUUGAGCGGAAUUACUGGGCGUAAAGCGCACGCAGGCGGUUUGUUAAGUCAGAGGUGAAAUCCCCGGGCUCAACCUGGGAACUGCAUCUGAGAAUGGCAAGCUUGAGGCUCGUAGAGGGGGGUUGAAAUCCAGGUGUAGCGGUGAAAUGCGUAGAGAUCUGGAGGAAUACCGGUGGCGAAGGCGGCCCCCUGGACGAAGACUGACGCUCAGGUGCGAAAGCGUGGGGAGCAAACAGG
This 429-nucleotide ribosomal RNA is filed under the name Fusobacteriota bacterium. Its description in RNAcentral is "Fusobacteria bacterium partial 16S ribosomal RNA". It matches the Rfam family "Bacterial small subunit ribosomal RNA", at positions 355 to 776 of the family's 1533-position model. Lineage: Bacteria; Fusobacteriati; Fusobacteriota. The record is from RNAcentral.